UACGGGGGGGGCAAGCGUUGUUCGGAAUUAUUGGGCGUAAAGGGCUCGUAGGCGGCCAACUAAGUCGGAUGUGAAAUCCCCAGGCUUAACCUGGGAACUGCAUCCGAUACUGGAUGGCUUGAAUUCGGGAGAGGGAUGCAGAAUUCCAGGUGUAGCGGUGAAAUGCGUAGAUAUCUGGAGGAAUACCGGUGGCGAAGGCGGCAUCCUGGACCGAGAUUGACGCUGAUGAGCGAAAGCUAGGGGAGCAAACGGG
RNAcentral lists this ribosomal RNA (253 nucleotides) under uncultured bacterium. RNAcentral's name for it is "partial 16S ribosomal RNA". It matches the Rfam family "Bacterial small subunit ribosomal RNA", at positions 524 to 776 of the family's 1533-position model. The record is from RNAcentral.